RNAcentral lists this long non-coding RNA (22276 nucleotides) under Sorghum bicolor (sorghum). RNAcentral describes it as "long non-coding RNA (SBIC_LNC011467)". The stretch from base 15558 to 15666 matches the Rfam family "MIR5565 microRNA precursor family". Lineage: Eukaryota; Viridiplantae; Streptophyta; Magnoliopsida; Poales; Poaceae. The record is from RNAcentral.
GGCGUCUGCGUCAGGUGCCACGGGGCCCACAGCCCAGGCGCGCCUGAAGCCCAGGUCCUCGAGCGGCUGCUCCAGGUACCUCCCCUCCAGCGCCCGGAACGAGUUGAACACGAACCCCCAGCUGUCGUGAAGGUUCCACAGGAAGUUCUGCCUCACCGACGCGGCGACCUGCUCGUCCAGAGCGCCGGCCAUGUACUUCCUGUACAUUAUCAAGAGCUCUCUCCACUGGAACGACGGCUCGCCGGGAAUCGCCGGGAACAAGACGCUAAACUCGUCGUCGUCGUCGCACUCCGCGGGGCGCCACACCAGGCGGCGGAAGGUCGAGUGCGGGACGGCGGUGCCGAGGACGCCGGACGGCGAGAACACGAUCCCCGCGGCGCCGAUCUCGCGGGCCAACGGCUGAGCCCAUCCGCAGAAGAAGUCGGCGACGACCGCGACGACGGGAUCGGGCUGCGCUUUAGCCCACGCGAGGAUGGGCCCGCGCAGCUCGGCCAAGGCGUGGACGAAGGCGGGGAAGUGCCUCGCCUUGCGGGCUUUGCGUUUUGCCCAACAGACUUGGUGGGUUCAAAGAUGUUGGGCCACAAAAAUAUUGCAGCUGGGUCACUACAGCCACGAAUAAAAACUUUGCGGGCCAAACAUGCGGGCCUCGUUAAGAGCCCGCCCCGCCUGCAAUUGUAUGCCUCGGGCUGCAGCCCUUGGUGUUCUCGAGCCCCGGGGGCAGGGACGGGUGGGAGGGGAACGGGAAGGUGGCGGCGCGGACGGCGGUGGGGUGCGCGGCGAGGAGAUUGGAGAGGAGCUGGAGGUUUGCCGGAGUCGUGACAACAGUAAGGCGGAGGCCGCGCGCCGCCAGGAGGGCGACGAAGUCGAGGAGCGGCAGCGCGUGGCCCUGCGCCGGGAAGGGGAUGACAAGCAUGUGCGGCGCCGCCUCGGGGGUAGGGGCCGCCUCCAUGGCUGGGGCCUGGGGCCAGUGUGGCAGAGCGGCGGAUGCCGGGUGGAGAGACCGGAGAGACGGCCAGUGUCGUUUUCACCGCCGGUAGAAACGGUCGUCUUUUACGUCAACAGCAGACAGCGUGCCCAAAACCAAACAACACGAACGCACACGGCUACGUGUAUGUCAGGGAACCGGUAAUGACACGAAGGCAAUUACCGGUUCCCUGACGUACACAUAGCUGGCUAGUAAUUGCCUUCAUCAACUACUCAUUUCACAAUUUGCACCUUCAACCACUUAUACUAACAAGUGGAUCAUAUUCAUACUAAUAAUUAGCUAUAUGACCAUCAACACUAAUAAUAAGCCUGGACUAAACCCGUUCGGGCCCUGGGCUUGAUUCUGUUCAAGUGUUCAUGGUCUGAAAGGCAUUGUCAAUCUCGGUCCGGCUUAAAGGCCCGUCGAAGCCCAGCAGGGAAUUAGUCGGCCCCUUUCACUAAAACCAGGUGAGGAAUCUACUAACUGCCUUUCUUCUCCCGUCCACCCCUAGUGCGCUCGUCUCUCUCGGCGACGACUGGGCUACCGCCGCCGCCGCCAAACUUCGUCGGGCUCGCCGGCGACGAGCUCCCACCAGGUAUCCCCACCCUCUCUUCCCUCACUGCUGUGCGAAACCAAGGACCCAAUGACCCUAACUUAAGCUAUUUGGCUAUUUCUACUCGGAUCCGAUCUAAUUACAAGUGCAACAGGAUCAGAGGAGGUGGUGAUGGCGAGAGGUGACAGCUGCCUGGCGCGCGUGGGUGCCGGAGUUGCCAUCGGUGGCGCGGUCGGCGGAGCCGUCGGUAACCUUCCUCCCUAAACCCCUAAACCCUAGACUUGCGGCAUCCAUCCAUCCGUUCGAGGUGCUUCGCCCGUGGGUGUGUUUGUUGAAGUAGAUUAGUGUGUGAUUUCAGGGAUCUUCUCGAGCUAGCUAUACUGAUCCCUGGUUUGUCUGGUUAACUGGCGGCCACAGAUGUAAUAACAAGGUGGCUUUUGUUAAGAGUUCAUGCUUAGGUAGCAUCUUCUGGAGGUGUAAUAUAUCGAUGCUCUAGUUGAGUUUAUUUGUCCAAUUGCUUGUGCUUUAAGGGCUGUUGCUGAUUUGAUGUGACGUGGUUUGGUUAAUUUGCUGGUGGUGGGUAGGACUUGUGAUGAAAAAUGUAAGUUCAAAAGCUUGUUCAGUGCCACUUUGGAAUGUACCAAUUAAUAUAUUCGAAUUUUGGUUUAGUUUCCUGAUUUGGACUCCAUUGUAAUGGAAAGAUGACAGCAUAUGGAAUUGUCUGUAUGCCAAGUUACUGGUAUUUUCUGUCAAAAAGUUGUCAUUCGCUUGGUGGUUUUGUAUUUAGCUCGUGGAGAGAAUACUGAUGACUUGAAGGGGUGGAUGUGGUCAUGUAUUAGGCUACCAGUCUGGCUUUCUUACCUUGAUAGUCAUUACUUUUGGGUUUUGUAAUAAGGCAGAAAAGGCGUGUCUGUGGACUUUUAUUAUUUUUAUGGGGAUUGUGUUGACCAGUGCAUCAAGGAGUACCUAACAUGCUUGGCUUGCUUCUUUCGUGCAAUAACUAUUAUGCAAUUGUUGCUUUCAAGGUGUAGCUCUAAUCAAGUUACUUAUAUUCCCAACGCUCAUUAGAAGUUGUUUAAGGCAGCCUAAUUAGCCUGCAUGCAGUGUAACUUUUUCUGUCCUAAAUUUCAUCCUUGUAUGACCGGAGGGAGUUGGUAGUUCUCAAAGUGCUCUUGUGCCCAUGUGCCUCCUAGGAUACGAAUAUCAUGGAAAUAAAUGGUAUAUGUUUUCUUCUUUCUGUUGCCAUAGCAUAAGAGUACCAAGUUACUAAUUGACAUGUUUUUCCUUCUUCCUCCGCAGGUGCUUGCUAUGGAACUUUUGAGGCAUUCAGAUACAAGGUACUCAUACACUGUUUGCUUUGUUAUACACAAAACCACUAUGAUAGGGCUUCUAUGUGAUUUCCCUUUCAAUAUUUGGUUUCGUGUCAUUCUUUCAUAAACUUUUGGAUACUGAUGCUUCCAAACAGUACUAGGAAAUAAAUUGAUUACCCUGUCCUUCAAUAUUCAAAGGAUUCAAAUUGAUUAGGUCUUGACUCUUGAUUGUGCACUUCGUUAACCUUAGCUAAGAUUUACUUGAUUGUGCACUAUCUGAAAUAAAAAUUUAGAGUUGUUUUUUGGGGUUAUCAUGAAUGCUAAUCAGUUUGAUAUUCUGUUGCACAGAUCCCUGGAUUGCUAAAGAUCAGAUACAUUGGACAAACCACUGUUGGCAGCGCUGCAAUUUUUGGUCUUUUCUUGGGUGCUGGGAGCUUGAUUCACUGUGGAAAAUCCUACUAGUUUGUUUCCCUCCUUUUUCUGAACACGACUUUGUCGAUGGGCUUCAGAGGAGGAUUCUUGAUUUUGAGUGCUACCCUGGGUGGCUUCAGUCAAAACUAUUCAAUGUCUGUACAAUUUAACAGCUAAUAGCUCAGGGUUGGAAAGAACAAUCAAGUUAUGCCCCAGUGUUGGUGUGGAUGGAAAUAUAAUCCAUGUUCAUCUGUACGAGAAUCGUCAAUUUCACAUAUAGCGUCUUAUGUUCUAAUAUGAUUUUGUUUGAAAAAUGUAAGGAUUUCUUAUGGUCAUCAAUAAUACUUUUCUUGCUAGAUGGAUGUAAUAUCGCUCAAAACGUAAUGGCAGCUAUAUGCUAUUGUUGAAAUGCAAAGGGCAGCCGGCCAGGGCCAAGGUUGACGCAGCAUAUUUUAUUUUUGUAUUUUCGUUUAUAUCGCUCCACACUGAUGGAUGAUUAAUCGUGUAGUUUGUUUUUUCGCGAUAAAAAAAUGUCCUGUGAGUUGAAAUAAUCUCGUACGACUAGCAAUUCAGUAUGCAUAAUCAGUUGUAACACUUAACGCUGUCAACGAGCCAUUUCAAAAUGUGUCAUGCUCAUGCGUUCAUCCAUACUGCAUUAUUUUAUACUGCACCUCUUCUCUCACUGUACAUAGCUAUGCUGAAGACUUAAAAGCUACUCCUACAUAUGCUAUGCUUGACUUUGUCGUCAAGGAUACUAAGUACAGACAGUAACCAUUGUCGCUCGAAUAAACUCCCAGUGGGUCGAGAUACAGUUGUGGACAAAGCUAUCAGGACUAGACACUAGAGUAAACUAGGACAUCACCUCACCAUAGUUCUAGGAGUAGAACUAAAAUUGCCAGAACUUCAGAUAGUUUCAUGUUCAGAAGAGGCAGAAUUACAACUCUCUAUGAAUCAAAAAAAAAAAAAAAGAAUUACAACUCUCGGAUCUCAAACACCUGUAAUUAGUUAUGGCAUACUCACUGUCACAGACCAAUCAAUGCCCGAGGUCGGUGCUCGAUGGUUAGCAAGGGCAAACCAUACUGUGAAACAGCUCUUACAAAUCCCAUGUUAGCAGUCAAAGUAGGAGCUCGCCAAUAGUCACCUGUGCCAAAAACAAUUUUGGUCUUCAUCGCGAGCUUCCUUGUGGUUGGAAGAUCCAUCAUUCGUGUUGAAGGACUGUCUGGGACAGUGCUGCAGGUCCAAAAAGUGUUGGUACAUACUCUGUAAGAUACAGUUUGCGUACUUGCGUGGUUUAAAAAAAUGAAUUCAAGGCCAUUAGCAAGCUCCAAACACACUGGAUAUGAUAAACAGUGACUUGUGGAAAAUAAGAGAGUUCCUAGUCUACCACGGUUGUAGUACCUCUGGGAUAUGACAGCAAUUUAUAUGGACAGGAAAAUAUUAGCUAGGUUCGAGAACAAAUAUUUGCGCAGAUGAAGAGGGCAGGAAAAAAGCUAGCUAGCAGAUGCAGCAUGUUUCACUCAGUGUUACUAGAAGCAAAAGCAGUUUCAGUUAUCUACCAAUUUCGAAAAUAUGGAGUACAUUUUUAAGUACACAGAAUGAAAGUACCAGUUCGACCAAUUCAUAUUGAGUUCAUUAUGAAACUUAUACUGGGCUGCCAGUGUAGGAGUACUAAGGACAUGUCCACAAAACACAAGGUUGAAAUGAAAAUCAUACAAUACUUUACUACAAACAAUCUUGAAGUACCUCAGUGCAUCUACAAUUCUACAUAUAUCACUCAGUAUAAGGAUCAGAUGAACAAGAAUAUCAUACAACCUUUGGGCACUACAUGUACCUAACAAAUGAAAUGCACAUAAAGAUAGGAAAUGAAAGAGCAAAAGUCCGCUUCAUGAACUUGAUCAUGUGUAAGUUCUCAAAAGGAAACCUGAUGAUGUGUUAUGUCUUAAACGUUGUAAGCAAUAUAUGGUAACAGAAGAGUCGCACUCAAAAUUCAAAGCUGCUAACAGAAGAAUCGCCCUCAAAAUUCCAAAUUAGAGCUACUAUAUAGUGGCACAAAAUACUGUACCCACAGAAAUCAAAUUAGCUAUGUAACAGAACUUACGUGAGUUGUUUCAACAAAUGUCUUGCUCUGAUGUUCUCUUCAGCUCCACCACACAUCGAAACAAUUUCUUUGAACUCCAAGUUGACAGUUUCACAUAUGAUACAUUGCUUCCCCUCCACUGCUUUCCCCAAAUCUAUGAGUAUUGGAAACUGCAGUUCGGGUUGUGCCUACAAAGCAAGCAUGAAAUAAUUCAAGACAAGAUCGACAGCAUGGUAUUCUUUUGUAAGUAGUACACAGUUCUCUAAUAUAGAUUCACUCUUUGCAGAAACAUAUUUUCUGAAUAUUCAAGUAAGUGUUUGAUGUGGGCUUCCUUACAGAAAUCACAAUGAAACACAAUUAAAUCUGUGUACUUGAUUGCAGUUAACAACUGAUCAACAAUAUUUAGAACUGGGUGAUGAAAGACUGGCUCCUCGGCUGUAAAGGAAACAUUUCCAAGCGACCUGAUCCAUGACGAACUUGUAGUUGCACUUGAACCUUGCUCUGGUCUCUGCCUCAGGUGUAGCCAUCAGCUUCCCUACCCCGCCAUUGCUGAUCCCUGACACUAUAGCAACCAGCGCGGUGGUGUCCAAAUUCACCAGCUCCCUCGAUUCCCUCCGCAUCUUCCCCAUAAAGGCACCAAAUGCUCCCUCGAAACUCAAAGGCUCCUCAUCAGCACUUCCCUCAGCCACCGCGGCUUCUGGUGGCAGCAAAACCUCGCCAGCACUCUCCACGACAUCAAUCUCGAACGCCCUGAAAUUCCUAAGGUCCUCACUCGGGUUGAAGCUGACGGCAACCCACCCGUCCCCAUCCUCCUCCUCGGAGUCGCCAAUGAACUCCUCGAGCAAGUCAGUGUCCACGGCCUCGAAGUCCUCGGCGAGCCCCCGCGCGAUAUCCACGCCGACACCGCGGGAGAAGACGAGGAGCAGCUUCUCGGGACGCGUAGCGGGCGGGGCACCGCGCGCGGCGUCCAGCGCCGCAGCGAAGCGAGCGCGGAGGCCCCCGGGCGGGGCCCAGGCGAGCCUGACGGGGUUGCUCGCAGAGACGAGCACCCACGCGGGCCGGCCGCGGAAGGCGCAGGCGAAGUCGACCCCCGGGAGCGGCGAGAGCCGGGACGGGCUCCGCACGGCUGGGUGGGUGAGGACGAGGUGGAGCGCCGCGAGGUGGGGCAGGUUGGAGGAGAGCGGCGUGGCCGCGGCGGGGCGGAGCGAGGAGAGGAAGCGCAGCUCGGCGUCGACGAGGCGGAGGAGGGAGCGGAGCGCGGGAUGGCGUGGCAGGUCCGGCGAAGCGGCAAGAUGGUCCUGCAGCGCGACGCACCGCGCCCGCGCCCGCGCCAGCUCCAGCUCGGAGUCGGCGGCGCACCCCUGCCGUGCAUCCAUUUUCGCUGCGAUCCGGUUUCGGCCGUAGUGGGGGAGACAAACUAUGGGUCGGAAUGGGCCGGCCUACAUGUAGCACGGAAAGUGGGCUGAAAACGCGAAACACAAAACGGCCCACGGCUCGUUUAUGAUGACGUAUAAAAGUGGCCCGAAAAUAUAGCCGUUGGGCUCGACUUUGUAGAUGCGUUCGCUUUGGUUUGCCUUCGGUACUCCGCGGUCCGCGCCCUCCGCUUUCGUUUUUUCCCCCUCCCCCUCCCCUCCACUACCGCCGCCGCCGGCCGAGUCCCGUGGCGACAUCCUGAGCCGGAGCGCCGUAGCUCCUCCGGAUUCGAGACACCGAGCGCACCCCGAGCUCUAUCUGUAGGUAUACUUUCAAGAUCUGGUCUUCUGUUAGCUUGUGCUCUGCGAAUUAUGCGAUGCUUUCGUUUCGUGUCCCACACUCCCAUUGCCACACGGGUGUGCUCCCAUGCGCCCUCCGGAGGGCCAUUUGUUUCGCCUGUUUAGUGGGCAGGCGCUGGUUUGAGUGACGCAGCUAUUUAGUCAGCAAGCGCUGGUUUGAGUGGUGCAGUGGUUUGUCUGGUCAGCUGUUGUGCUGUGUCUUGAGGUAACGUCUAGGGUUGCGGAAUUUGUGGCCAGUUCUCACUCAAAUUUUCAGUUAUUUAGUUAAUUAUUUCCACCCGAAUUUUGGAUUCAGUUUUGCGGGAUGGCAAACUAGAAUUUCGUGUUUUCCUUUAGCGCACUUCAUAGUUCAUAGGACAUGUGUUUUCCUUUAGCGCAGAUAUCUCUGUCCAGCGUUUUUGUUGUGUAGGGGAGGGGGUGGGGUAACGAAUUUAAGAUACCUCGCAUUCUGUCACACUCUUGUCACUAAAUUCUGGUGGAUGUAAAACACUGGAUUUAGGCCUUGUUUAGUUCCCAAAAUUUUUCAAGAUUCUCCAUCACAUCGAAUCUUUAGACAAAUGCAUGAAGCAUUAAAUAUAGAUAAAAAAUAACUAAUUAUAUAGUUUACCUGUAAUUUGCGAGACGAAUCUUUUGAACCUAGUUAGUCCAUGGUUGGAUAAUAAUUACCGAAUACAAACGAAAGUGCUACAGUGCCCAAAACCAUAUCCUGCACAGAUUGGGCCUAAUUCAUGUAUAUUUCCACAAGUAGAUUUUUUUGAAGUAAUUAAUAUUUAUUCGUGAUUGGAUAGUUGUGAAGUACCUUGUGGCAUUGCUAGGGGAUAUGGGUAUGAGUAUGGCCAUAUAUGUUGAUGUUUGCUACUCUUGGAUAACAUUGUAUUGUACUACUUUAUGAAGUUCACCCACGUAAUUCUAUGCAUUCAGGAUCUGUGUUUGAUUUAGUUUGGAGCAUAUUACUUAUGGUCCCAUUAUUGUAGUGUUUGGAGCUGAAAAUGAGUGAGGCAAAUACUACUCAGCUUGACCUUGAGAAAGGAUUUUCUCAAGUGUCUAAUGAUAAUGAUUCAAGUAGCCCUGCAACUGUGCAUAAGAUGAAAGCUGAGACAGAAGAUGGUGGAAGUGAAAUCGAAUCACCCACUCCAGAAAAACGUGAAUCUAGAAGCAAAGGGGUUGUUGUGAGUUCACUGGCAAGGAAUUUGCUUGCAGAGAGGUACAAAGACAGAUUUGCAUAUCAGCUGGUGGAAGAUGAGGGUGAGACAGAUGAAGAAGACUAUAAUGAAAGUGUUUCGCCUAGUGGUAGCCGAUCUCUUUUUCCAGAAAGCAUUGAACUUCUUGAGAAGUGAGUCAUUCUAUUCUCAUCUCAAUAUCUCAUGCUGUGUGUGCUGCCUAGCCAUGAUUAUUCACCUUGUCUUUCUUGUUCACAAUGGAAGACACAAGGAUUUGCUGAAUCUUUUCAAUAGAAUGGAGAGUUCUAUAAGAUUGCUUCACCUACGGAAGAAGAUGGCUACAUUUAAUAAUAUUGCCACCCAGGUGGAGAUACUCGCAAAAAGGUAGUAAUGACGAUGAAAGUAUCUAUAUGGAUUAUUAUUAUUUGUUUGUUUGUUGCAGUUGGAUGAUAAUCUUUCUGCGUUACAGGAAGUUGUUAUACAGUCAUUUGGCCCAGAUGAAACAUUUAUUCCCAGAGGCAAUCCAGAUAAAGAGGAUACUAGUACAUGAUGAGAAGAGCCUAUGCAUGUAUGCUGAUAUGGAAAUCACACUUGUAAUGGAUGUUGUGGAAUGCACAAGCCCUGAUCAGUCUCCAUCCAUGACAAUUUGCGAGGCUUUUUACUCAAAGCUUUUGAGAUUUUUGGAUGCUCAUCAUAAGGUACUAAACUUAAUUUAAUUAGCCCUUGCUUAGGUAGUAGUUAAUUAAUGAUGUUCACAGUAUGAAUGUAUGAUAUUUCCUUUAAUUUGUUAAGAGCAUUUUAACUGAAGUUCUGUCUUCUCAUUUCAAGUGAACCUAUAUAGUUAUAUGUUCUUUUUUAGGGGUUGACCUAUAUGCACUUUUGAUUAUGUUAGUCUUCAAGCCAUGAUAAAUUAAUGACUCACUCAGCAUUCUCAUUGCAAAUUGUUAUUUAUGCAGGGUGCAGAUAUUCCUGAGGCAAUCCUACCGGAACCCUUUAAUUCAAGGCCAAGGGAUAAGUUAUAUCUUGAGGCAGUACAUAAUGGGCAUGCUGCUGAGCCACCUAUGCAGGGUGCCGCUGAGGAGGAACUCUCAAAUGCUUCCCACUUUCCACAAUCUUUUCAAAAACUCAUGUCGCAGAAAAUCAUUGCUGAUGGAACUGAAAAGACUCAAUUGCUAUCUGAUCCAGCAGAGCUGAGCUCUGUGAACGUUUAUGAUACAGAAGGGUCAGACAGAAACCCUAAAAAGCAAGAUGAACAUGCUCCAGCUCCAGUGAACUCUGAAAUUUCUGCUACUCCAAGCCGUCAUUUGACCUCUUGUUGUCAAGAGAGUACACCAAAACAAGGGACCUCAGAGUCACCAUUGUUGUCUGGAACACCUGCAAUGCAGACUCCAAAUAGGCCAUUGCCGACUCCACUUGAGAAACCCAAGGUCACAUGUGGACACAUUAGUGAACCACGUUCAGCCAGUUCUGCCCGCAGAUCACUAAAUACAUCGUUAAAAUUUGAAGGAGGAAGCCCUUCUUAUUAUGAUGGAAUGGAACAUACGACUACAGCUGAAAAGGGCAUAAUCUCAGAAGACUCAUCAAGUUUUAACAAGUCAUUUGAGGUAUCUGAUUCCCAUCCAUCACUUUUUUUUUGACAACCCAUCCAUCACAUUAAAUUGUUAUCUGUUUGUAUAGCACAUAAUUGCAUGCUAGAAGAUCACAGAUGCUAUAGUCAAUAACAUACACUACUAACAAAUGCUUGUGCUUUGGAUUCUGAUUUCUUUAAAAACCCAGUUUGCAGGAAUAACUAUGGACAGCUCUUUCUGCAUUUAAUUCUGUAUCUUAACAACGUUAAUGUGGGUUGUGUCAAAUAGAUUUCUUAACUAACUAGUAACUAGCUUCAUCUAACACAAUAUUCAGGAAAUAGGUAUAUAUGACUGUUCAAUAAUUCCUAGAAUGGUAGCACUGCAGUUGUUGAUGCUUUGGGAAAAAGCCAGACAUCAGACUACUAAUAAUCAGAGCAAUUUACCAAUAAACUUGGAAUUUUAUACCCUGAGGUGCAGUAAUAAGUUUGUUAGACAGAAUGACCAUUUCUCUUUUGUUGUCUGUAGAAAUGCUCAAAUGCAUUAUAAACAAGGAGUGUUACUCUUGGUUUUCUACGUAUGACAUGGUGUCUGACUAAUAGAUGUCUUGCUUCCCGCUCUGUUAUUUUCUUUUGCUGUAGCCUGUAAUAAUAGUUGGAAGAAUUACAAUUCCAAGGUUGUUCCAGUUCAUUUGCCUGUUGGUUAUUUCCUGACCAAAUGAACCUUUUCCUUGCAGGAAGAUAGUCCUGUCUUCUUUACUGAUAAAGACAAAAUCAAUGAAGUAGACUCAGUGGAUACUCAAGAAAGGAUGGCUUCGCUACAUACCACAUUUGACAUAGUCUGCGAUAUUUCUCGUUCUACCAAGAAUUCACUUAUCACGAAACAGGAACUUUUCCACAAUAUUCUUGCCAACAACUUGGAGAUAGAAGAGAUUGGUAAUGAGGAUCACUUGAUCCGUGUACCUUCCAAAUUAUACUUGAUGUUUCCUGAGCUAUGCUGAUCGUAUUGUCUUUUUUACUAAUAGGGGAGAUAGAAGAGCAGCUGCAUAUUUUAGAGGAUCUGGCUCCUUCUUUGAUAUCAAAGAAGGUGAUAAAUGGAGGAGAAAUACUUUAUAGGUAAGUUUAUUUAGUAUUACUAGACAGCAUCCCUCUUUAUCUUUUUCUAUUUAAAGUUUUUUCAGCAGAAUACUGACAUAUUAUCUCUAAAAUGGCAGCAUCGAGCCUAUAACAGAUCAGAAUUCAGUUCGGGCGAGGCUUGUAGAACCUGUAUGAGAUAGCUGCGAUUGGUUCAAGCUGAAGAAAUUAUCUAUAUGUAUGUACCACUAAUGAAACCCAUAUUAGCUCAUUACCACCAUGUAAGCAUCUGCAUGGCUCAUGUCUGAUUCGACUUCAAAUCUGUGUUUUUGUUGACCUGCUCAAUGCUGACUCCCUGACUCAAAUUCGCACUAGCUUCUCUGUGAGCUUACUGUGGUAAUCCCAUGAACUUGUGUGGAGUUCAGCUGAACUUUGGCAUCUGCUCUGUGAUAUUUACUCAUGAAAAAUGAAGAAGAAAUUACUGGUGUGUAAUGCUGGUGUGAAGCACAUUCGUAUCCCUGUAUGCAUUUAGAUAACAAAGCCUUUCAUUACUUCAUGCAGUAUUUAUUCAUUAUUCAAUAAUGACAUAUAUCUAUAUGUAGCAAUGACAUGUCAUGCAUACAGUACACUAGUGAUGGCAAUAAGCCCACGACCUGUAUCCUCUAAUCAUAUGUAUGUUCCCGGCACGUAUCUAGUUCCAACAGAUGGAGCAAAUGCAGGCAUCAACUGCCUCACUCGGACCAGGUGAUGUCCACCAUCCCGAGGUUUAGAUCGAGUCCCAGGGCGUUCCACACCGCCGGUGAGGCGUCGACGAUGUUGUUGUCGCACGGUGGCUCAAAAUUGUGCUCGUCGUCACAGCCGUGCACGGAGUCACACUCGUCCACCACCUUGGCGUACACGGAAUUGCCGUUGGCGCUGAUCUUGAUUUGAUGACCACAACGCGCCAUGUUGCUGAACCACCCUGUGGAGAGCGCCACCACCUUCUCCUCGUCGUUGUGGUACGCGUUGUCGCACUCUGAUGGGCCACCGCCAUCCUUGCCCUUCUCAAAGCUGUUGAGCGUCAGCACGGCCUUGGUGCUCGCAGUCACCGGUGGCGAGCAGUGGUACUGUGGAUACUUCUUUCCAUCUUCACAGCAGUCUGGGUCGUUGCUCUUCUGGCAGUUGCCAGAGUGGCCAGGGAGGUACCCGCUAACGCGGCACGUUCCGAGGCCGGUGCCAGGGCGGAGGGAGGAUGCCAUGUGGGAGGCGGAGAGGGCAACUAGGAAGAACAUCGCCAUGGCGGCUAUCCCUCUCGCAGUGGCCAUCAUUGCUUGCCUGAAGAAAUGGUCGAGCUCCUUCUCACUCUGUUUUUUUUUUCUUUUUGUUUGUCGAGCUCUGCUGUGCUUGAUGGUUUUGAGAUUAGUCGUGCAUGGGAUUAUAUAUAGUGGCCUUUCCUGCUUGCUACAUUAGUAUGAACUUGCACUGAUGCACAUGGCGUACGGAAUGGUUUGAGUGGAUGCCAUUCUCGAGACGGUAAUCCGUUCUUAUGUGCUGUAUUCAACGUCUCUUUUUCGAUUGUUUAUAUGCCAAAUUCUUGUGGCGUAUUGUAUAUUUAAUGUUUGGGAUAUCGUCUCCUUAGAGUAUAGAUGACUUGUUUAAUAGGUGGUCUAAGAUGGGUGAUAACAAACAUGAUUCGUUGUUGUUGACUAUGGGCUAAACUUUGUAAUAAUUGGUCUAAUUCUACCAGUUGGUAGAUAAAGUCGGGUAUAAACUAUCUUUUAUCUUUAAAAAAAUCUAGAUGUGUCGUAUGCCCGUCUGAAAUGGUAUGUACUCUUUCGAUGGGAACAUAUGGAGUGGAAAAGAUUUGUCAGACACGGAAACAUGGGGUUCACCUAGGUUAAUUUCAUAGACAUAUUGGAAUUGGAGAACUCACGGGGAAAAAAUAUAGCCUUUAGCUGUACCACUUUUACCCCCACCAUGAAUGACCACAAAUUUGUCCUCACCAUGGUGGCGACAAUUCCUGCUAUGGUGGCUGAUUAUUUGGCUGGUGCUAAUAUUAAUGCUGAUUUAUUGUAAUAAAAAAAUAUUAUUCCAUAGUUGAAAAGUAGUACUGAUAAUUGAGUAAACUUGCUGCCACCUCGUUGAUGAUCCAAUGACCCGCACUACGCCACAGAAGGUAAUUUGAGACGGCUCGUGAUAUCACUUAGUGACGGUGAAUUUACGUAUUUAAAAAUUUACGACCGUGAGGAGUCUGGUUCGAUUAAUUGGACGUAUGGUUUGGCACAUCCACUGUUCCCUAAUGUUUACGGUGGCUGUUUACAAGAGUGUUACUGUUCGCGCCUAACUGUUCAGUGUUUCACUACUCUUCGUAGGAUGGCUACUUACUGCUCACGGAUUACUGUUCACGUUCCCGCUCUACAUUAUUCAACAGCCAAUUCAGACCGAGUGGAGCCCUGAUUUAGACCAGUUCAUCGAGUGUUCAAAAAAUACCACCAGAUCUUUAUGUCAGCAGUCAGCUUAAUUAUUUUUUACUUUAAUGUCGGCUUAAAAACACUACAAUAAAUUAAUCUCUUCAUCUUGGAAAAAACGACAUGCCUAAAUGAAGAUAAAAAAGAUAUUGUUCAUAUAUAGAUCAACAACUCACAUUAUAUUUGUUUUAUUUAUUUAGACACUUAGCAUUAGACUAUCAAGAGAUGUACUACAUACGUUCCAAAUUAUAAGAUGUUUUGACUUUUUAAAUACAUAGAUUUUGCUAUUCACUAUGUCUAGAUAUAAAGUAAAAGCAAUGCAUCUAGAACGUUGUCUUAUAUAUAUUUUGGAACAGCGGCAAUAUUUAAGAAAAAAACAGUAUAGAAUUGAUUGAGAAAGCUUGUUUACGUAUAAUUAUAAUUUGUAGUGAUUAGUGAGAACUAAUGAGAUAUAUAGAUGAGAACCAUAUAUACAACAUUUUUUUGGGGGCGGGGCGCAAGCCCCUGCUCGCCCUCUUGUCUCCACACUACACCAAUGACAUCACCAAUUGUCACAAUUGACAAAAUAAGCCCUAAUGCCUUGUUGGUUCGGUCCACAGUCCACUGUUAGAUCAACAUCAGCUAAGACUCAUGAGCGGGAACUUAGAACGAGCUCGGGAACAAACACCACGUUAUGUGCAAUGACCAUUGCAAUGAUGGCCAUGACGACCGUGACAACUAUGGCUAUUGUGGUUGUGACUACCAUCAUGGUGACUGCAACUACAACCGACGUUCUAAGAAGCCUACCUCGGAAAGUAUGACAAGGACACAAACUCGGGUCACUAGCUUGAGGUUGAGGACUACCACCUUGCAUCCAGAGCAUAGGUGCUAGUGACAUCUUCGCCAUCUAGUACCUGUGAUCAACCAAAACUGGGGCUAGACCUGAGACAGACGAGUAGAUUUUUUAACCCUAACUAGAAAUUUGCUCCCACAGAGAAUAUGACCCAUGAUCUGAGGAGUGAUAUUGAAGCCACAGAAUCAACUUAGUUAGAGGCCCUAUUACCUCAAGCGUUAUUAUUCAAUAUUCAACAAUGACAUAUAUAUCCAUAAGCAGUAAUGACAUGGCAUGCUUACAAUAUACUAGUGAAGGAAAUAAACCACCGACCUAUCCUCUAAUCAUAUAUAUGUACACAUCUCGUAUCAAAUGCCAACAGAUGGAGCAAACACAGCCAUCAUUUCCCUCUCACUCCUCAGACCAGGUGAUGUCCACCAUCCCGAGGUUCUGGUCAAGUCCCAGGGCGUCCCACACCGCUGGUGAGGCAUCGACGAUGUUGUUGUCGCACGGUGGCUCGAAGUUGUGCUCGUCGUCACAACCAUGCACAGAGUCGCACUCAUCAACCACCUUGGCGUACACGGAGUUGCCAUUGAUGCUAAUUUUGAUGCGGUGCCCACAGCGUGCCAUGUUGCUGAACCACCCGGUGGAGAGCGCCACCACCUUCUCCUCGUCGCUGUGGUAUGCAUUGUCGCACUCCGACGGGCCGCCGCCGUCCUUGCCCUUCUCGAAGCUAUUGAGCGUCAGCACAGCCUUGGUGCUAGCCGUCACCGGUGGCGAGCAAUGGUACUGCGGGUACCUCUUGCCAUCCUCGCAGCAGUCAGGGUCGUUACUCUUCUCACAGUUGCCAGACCGGCCCGGGAGGUACCCGCUGGCACGGCACGUGCCGAGGCGGACACCGGGGCGGAGGGAGGAUGCCAUGUGGGAGGCGGAGAGGGCAAUUAGGAGAAACAUCGCCGUGGUGGCUAUCCCUCUCGCAGUGGCCAUCUUUGCUAGCCUGAAGAAAUGCUUAGAAAUGCUAAUGCUCCUUCUCACUCUGUUUCCUAUCUAUUUCUCGUGCUCUGCUUUGCUUGAUGGUUUGAGGUUAGUGGUGCAUAGGAUUAUAUAUAGUGGCCUUUCCGCUUGCAACAUUAGUAUAAAAACUUUCGCCGAUGCACAUGACGUACGGAAUGUUUUGAUCGAUGUGAUUACCGGAGACGGCAAUCUGUUCACCAACUAAUGUUUUUCGUGGUGCCGUACGCAAGAAAUGGUUUGAACUCGUUAGAUGGGAACGUAUAGAGUAGAGAAGAUUUGUUAUAGGCACACAGAAACGUGGGGUUCACGUAUGUCAAUUUCCUAGCCAUAUUGAAAAUUGGAGAUUUCAGGGUGAAAAAACUUCGGCCGUACCAGUUUUACCCUAAGGUCUUGUUUGGAUGUUGUCGGAUUCACUUCAAUCCAUGUGUGUUGGUGUGGACUGGGGUGGAAUUUAGUUCAUGUUCCACUCCAAUCCACCUCAACACAUGUGAAUUGAUGUAAAUCCGACUACAUCCAAACAAGGCCUAAACGAUAAACUCUAACACAAACAACCUGCAUUGAAUGACCACAAAUUGGUCCUCACCAUGGUGCCGACAAUUUUUAUAGAUAAUACUCCUAAUUGAGUAAAUUUGCUGCUACCUCCUACAUUACACACUAUUGCUAGAAGACUCGGUCUCGCCAUGGGACUGACAAAUGCAAAGUGGAGCGGCAAUAUUUAUAAAUGGAAGCGAGAAUAUCCACUUGUAACAAAGGUUACAGAUAAUAAUAAAUACUGGUAACCACUCGUAAUACAUUUCACAUUUGUCAGUAAAAAGGUUAUUUCAUUCAUUCAUUGUGCACAUCAAUAACAACUACUCUUGUCCAGGAAAUUGGGAGACUUUCUUGUAUACAACUUUAUGAAGUUGUGGGACGGCAAAAAUUUGCAACAAAUCAAUAGUGUAAGCAUAUAUAGCCUAUAACAAUACAUAUCUUACACUACAAAAAUAAUAAUAACUAAUUAUCAUUUGCCAAGUACAGCACUCAACUUCGCUGAGGAUGGAAUUUUUGGUGGACAUUUUGGCGAGCAAAGCAAACGAAUGUUUCGACAACAUCCCCGAAGAUGUCCAGUACAUGAUUAAAGAGUUAAACAAAAUGUAACAUAGAUGCUCAUAAUAAGACAAAUAGCUCUAUUAUGCCUUGUUACAUGAAAAAAUAUUUUUCGAACUAUAGUUUUUGUUUUUCAAGCAUCCUAAAAUUAAGCCGUAGCGUUAGCACGGGCACUAUACUAGUACUCCUAAUUGAGUAAAUUUGCUGCUACCUCGUCUCAGGAGUCUGUUUCGGUUGGUUUUAAUUAGAUGCAUUGUUGGGCCUUUUAGGCCAAAUUAGCGUGAGGUGCACGGAUAUGCAUCCCUUGUUGCUUUAUGCUGGUCUAUUCUUCUCAUUGUGUUAUCAUCUUUCUUUCUUUUUCUUUUCUUUUCUCCCUUGUAUGAGUUUUUUUUAAAAAAAAAUUACUUGUGGCCAUGCACGUUGCUAUGGUUAUAGCACAAACACACUUGGAGGUGAACGAUGAAAAGUGCCCAUACCAAGAAACAAAACUUUUAAUGUCUGUGAUCACUCUUUUUCCUACACUAACGACUUUUAGAAGCGCCUCGUUUUUGUUUUUGUUUUUGUUACGAAGAAACAAAACUUAGAGUAUUCAUGAUCACAAUCAUUAGACAAAUGAAGUUACCAAAGUAGCUUGCAAAUAGAGUCGUGAACUAGCCGCAACUUGUAAAAUAUAGAAGAUAAUCAAAUUUGUGUUUGCCCGGUGGAUACCAUAGACUAAGUAGAUGUGAAGUUCUAAACAAAAGAAAAAAAGAAGCAAAAUAGAAAUAGAAAAAUAUGAAAAAAAGGAGUUCUUAUUUAUUCUUCAAAAUGAUUGCAUUUAAAUUUGUCUAAAAAGAUUGAGCCGGUAAAUAAAGCUAAUUCCGGUGGAUGACUAAGGGCUUAAUUUAGUUGCCUAAACCAGGUUGGGCUAGGCUCCUCACAUAUAAAUGGCAGGGUUAGUUGCCUAAACCAGAUCCGGCUAGGCUCCUCACAUAUGCAAUUGGGUGCAUGCAUAAAUAAUGCAGGACUAUGCUGACGGAGCGGGUGCAUGGGGAGGUUGGAUAGUCGGAUAAGCAGGACCUAGCCAAAUUGUAGGACAUGUGUUAGGCUUGCUUUGAGGAGAGUCGCUCUAGCCUACAUAAAAACUUGUGCAAGUAACCAAGCAUAAGUAAAUUGCAUUGCGAGGCCUAGAGAAGUUAUGUAAGCAACCAAUUAGACCCUCCAUUUUUCCGUCUGACAACCCUUUCCCUCUCUCAAAUGGCAGUCAUAGAUCUUGCCUCCCCCCUCCAUUGUGUAGCAGGUACCAGUUGUGCACACGCGUGCUAGACGUUGUAGUGCAGUGGCCUAAGGCAUAGGUCAAGGUCCCCUCCCCUUCUCCUAAGGCAUAGGCAUAGGAUGCGUACAUCAUGUCCACGACUUCAUCCUACACCAAGCUCUCAGUGAGCUUGGCUACCCCCAAAAACCUUGGAUUUCACCUUGAUCUUGCAAAUGCUUGUGAACCAACAUUCAUAUGAUGUGAAACCAACCCCUCCUGAUUUAUCUAUUGUGGAUAUCUUUGCAAAAAUAAAAAGUAGGGGUAAUGUUGUGUGGACUACAAUGAUUGAGACUUUAACCUAGUAGGCAGUGUUCCGACCUUUGGAAUUUGUGGAAUGUUUCAUGUGGUUCUAGAGCUUGGACACAACAUACCACUGGCUUGGAUUGUAAUUGUUGAGCUAGAACAAUAUAUGAUGCAUGGAUUCUGUCGAAUAUAUGGACGGUAUAUUCAUUGAAGCCAUAACAUGCCCACUAGAUAUAGGCGUGAGCAGGUCGAUUGGUUAGGGGAGGAUUAAUUUGAGGGGUGCUUUGUCUACUUGGCACGUAAGGAUUAUAUGGAUAGACAUAUAAGCUAAGUUCGGCAAGCUCAUCUUUGUGACUCAGCUCUAAGGUGCAUUACUAGUUUUGUGUAUUUAGAGAACACAACCUUUCAUUUCACCAUGUGCUAUUUAUUCAGUACUCUCUCCAUUUUAAAUUACAUGAUAUGGUUUCUUCUAUAUGCAUUAUUUUUACUAUAUAUUUAGACAUAGUAUAUCUCUAAGCAUAAAGUAAAAGAUAUAUAAAUGUUUAUUAUGUAUAUAGAAAACAUAGGACACGUUAUAGUUUGAUGAUGAAAUAGAGUAUUCAAUAUAUAUAUAUAUAUAUAUAUAUAUAUAUAUAUAUAUAUAUAUGCAGUACACACAUACAAUACACUAGUGAAGGCAAUGAGCCAACGAUCUGAUGUAUCCUCUCAUUAUAUGCACACGGCACAUGCCAAGUGCCAACAUAUGCACACGACACCUCACUCCUCGGACCAGGUGAUGUCCACCAUCCCGAGGUUCUGGUCGAGUCCAAGGGCGUUCCACACUGCCGGCGAGGCGUCGACGAUGUUGUUAUCGCAUGGUGGCUCGAAGUUGUGCUCGUUGUCGCAGCCGUGCACGGAGUCGCACUCAUCCACCACCUUGGCGUACACGGAGUUUCCAUUGGCGCUGAUCUUGAUUUGGUGACCACAACGCGCCAUGUUGCUGAACCACCCAGUGGAGAGCGCCACCACCUUCUCCUCAUCGCUGUGGUACGCAUUGUCGCACUCCGACGGGCCGCCGCCAUCCUUACCCUUCUCAAAACUGUUGAGUGUCAACACAGCCUUGGUGCUCGCUGUCACCGGCGGCGAGCAUCGGUACUGUGGGUACUUCUUGCCAUCCUCGCAGCAGUCCGGAUCAUUGCUUUUCUCACAAUUGCCAGAGCGGCCUGGGAGGUACCCGCUGGCGUGGCACGUGCCGAGGCCAACGCCGGGGCGAAGGGAGGACACCAUCUGGGAGGCGGAGAGCAUGAAUAGGAAGAACAGGGCCAUGGCGGAUACAGCUCCUGCAGCGGCCAUCUUUGCUUGCCUGAAGAAAUGCUCGAGCUCCUUGUCACUCUGUUUUUUUUCGUGCUCUGCUUUGUUUGAUGGUUUGAGGUUAAUCGCGCAUGGGAUUAUAUAUAUAGUGGCCUUUCUGCUUGGUACAUCAGUUUGAACUUGCACUGAUGCGCAUGGCGUACGGAAUGGUUUGAUCGAUGUGAUUACCGGAGACGGCAAUCCUUUCACCACCGAGUAUUUUUUUUGUCGCGCCGUAUAAAAUUGUUUGAACUCGUUCGAUGUGAACAUAUGGAGUGACCCCUCAAAAAACAUAUGGAGUGGAGAAGAUUUUUGUUGUACACAAACGUCGGGGGUUCACAUAGGUUAAGUUCAUGUUCAUAUUGGAAAUUGGCUGGAGAACUCGAGACAAAAUUCGCACUGAAUAAUCACAAAUUGCUCCUCACCAUGAUGCAGACCAAUGUCGGGCCUGAUUGGUUCCAUCGUACGAGGCAUCCUGGCUCCAAUUGUUGCAUGCUGGUUGAUCUGGAGCAGCUUCUCUUGAGCCUCUACCUAGCUGUACUUUCUCUCACGAUAAAUCAACGAAUAAUAUUUUCAGUCAUAGCUUUUCAAACCAGCGAACAGGCUAACGGAACACACUAUUUUUUUUUUAACAAUAUCAUUCCCCGGUGGCAUUUUAGUUGGUAAGAUCAAAGAGGAGGCUCGUGCUUGGGGUACCACCGGCUCUAAUGCCUGUCUCAAUGGAGAUUUUAUAGAAGUUUUAUACAUAUUAAAUAUGCUGAUGUGGCAACUACAUUGAUGAAGAGAGAGAUGGUGAGAGUUUUAUGGGAGUAGAUAUAAUUUUAUGGAGAUAAAACUUUUCUACACCGUUUUUAAAAUACAAGAGUUUUGUAGAGUGGGCCAUGAAACCUUAUUGAGACUGGAAGUGCUUGAGGGAAAUAUACUUCCGUGUAUAUAGUGUUUUCCUCUCUUUUUUUCCCAUGUUUUGCACAUGUUCAGUUUUUGUGGCCUAGGCCAAACCUUCCCCGGCAGGUUCUGUCCAUUUUGUGUGGGAGGAAAGAACAACAACCAAGCAACCAUCUGUGACAAAAAAAAAAAAGCAACCAUCUGUGACCACAUUUGUUCAAUAAAAAAUAACAUUUCGGGUGGGUGCUACCAAAAUUCGCGUACGCGAGCUGCAGCUGAGUCUGGUGAUCGGAAUUGCUUACCAGUUUCGCACGGCUUCGGUUUCAGAUCUCGCUCCAACAACAGUUCUUGUAAAGUGUUACAGAAGUCGUACCAAAUAUUUUAGGAGAAACUUUUUCCCGAUAAACAGUGAAAGAGCCAAAGUCAUUUUUAGACAAAUUAAAUAGUCAGGACCGCAAAAUAUGGCUCUUCUUGUGCUCCGACUUAUAGGAAGGAGUAUUUGAGAAUAAGACCAUUUUUAAUGCAAGGUUUUACCUCUCAAUUUUCAAGACGUGAAAUUUAAUAUAAAACGUAUCUCUCUCAGUGUAUAGUUUUAUAGAGUUAUUUUAGCCUUUGGGAGUCUCACCAUUAUCUCUCUCAUGCACGCGAUGAAACGAACUAAUGGCUUUCGGUAGGGGUUUUAUUCGGUUUCCAAUGUUUUGGAAACAAUUCUCUCCCCUUCUCGAUACAUGCAAAAUCUUUAUUUCUGUUGAUGUAGCACUGUACUUAAUGUGGAUGAAAUCCCAUAGAAUCUACAUUAAAAUUGACCUAAGGGCGUCCUCAAUGGUGCUAGCUAUGUAACUAGAUGACAUGGAGGUAAGAAACAAAAGCAAUGACUAUUUUAUACUAUAUUUUUAUUUUCUAUGUACUAUUGGACUCACAUGUUCCUCUCAUAUAUUUUUGAACUAUGUAAAAUAUAUUAGUUAUUUAUUCAUCGUUAGUAACUAUUUUCUUUCAUACUUUUUUAUUGUCCGCGUCAUAAUAGCUAGCAAAUAGCUAGUCCUUGGGACGCCCUAAGUUGUGCCAAACGGACCUCAAUUACACUUUUUUAAGUGGUGUAGGGACGCGGAAGCUGCUGGAAGUUAAGCCUAAUCAUGUGCCGUCAGUUACAAAAACUAUUCGCCAAAAAAAAAUGCACACCGAAAACUAUGAGUAUCCUUUCUUAUGGGAUUAUUAUGCAAAUGUUCUUUGCAAGUAUAUUUUAGAUAUGCUGAGAAAACAAAUGAAACCUCGAAUUAUCAAAAAGAAAAUGAAGCCUUCAGACUGAAGAAUGCAUCCCUUUGAAACAAACUUUUGUUAUUGAACGUGAUUAUAGUCGACCAGGACAGUGUAACAGUUAAUUAUACAGCAUGCCAGCGCAGCAAUUUAUCCUGACGAUCCGCUCGAAUUCAAUGAACAUUCCGAAUCUCCUGCACUAACCCGUCCAAAUCAGCGUACGAGCUCCCGCCUGGCUUCACCGCCCGCGCGGCCUCCGCCGCGAGCUCCUUGGCGCGCGCCCUCACGUCGCGGCCCUUCUCCCCGACCGCGUCGGCCAGCACGGUCGCCAGCUCGCCCGGGUCCGGCGCGACGCCGAAACCCCACGCGCACGCGGGCACCGCGACGCGCGCCUCGUCCACGAGCAGGCGCGCGUUCACGAACUGGUCCGCCGUCAUCGGCCACGCCAGCAUGGGCACGCCCGCCGCGGCGGCCUCGAGCACCGAGUUCCAGCCGCAGUGCGUCAUGAACCACCCCACCGCCGGGUGCCGCAGCGUCGCCAGCUGCGGCGCCCACCCGCGCACCACCAUCCCGCGGCCCGCCUCCGCCGCGCGCGCCUCGAACGUUUCGGGGACGACGCCGCUGCUCCCGGCGCUCACGACCCAGACGAACGGCACGGCGCUGCGCUCCAGCGCCUCGGCCAGCGCCGCCGCCACGGCCGGGGUCAGCACCGCCUGGCUCCCGAACGACACGUACACGACCGAGCCUUCCGGGAACGGGUCCAGCCACGCGCCGAGGCUGGCGGCCGCGACGGCCGCCUCCCCGCCGCGCGCGCCGGCGGCGUCUGCGUCAGGUGCUACGGGGCCCACAGCCCAGGCGCGCCUGAAGCCCAGGUCCUCGAGCGGCUGCUCCAGGUACCUCCCCUCCAGCGCCUUGAACGAGUUGAACACGAAACCCCAGCUGUCGUGAAGGUUCCACAGGAAGUUCUGCCUCACCAACUCGCGGACCUGCUCGUCUUCCUCCCUGCCUUCCGCGUACCACCUGUAAAC